UACGUAGGGUGCAAGCGUUGUCCGGAAUUAUUGGGCGUAAAGAGCUCGUAGGCGGUUUGUCGCGUCUGCUGUGAAAACUCGGGGCUUAACCCCGGGCCUGCAGUGGGUACGGGCAGACUAGAGUGCGGUAGGGGAGACUGGAAUUCCUGGUGUAGCGGUGAAAUGCGCAGAUAUCAGGAGGAACACCGGCGGCGAAGGCGGCGCUCUGGUCCGUAUCUGACGCUGAGGAGCGAAAGCUAGGGGAGCAAACGGG
Molecule: ribosomal RNA, 253 nt
Filed under: uncultured bacterium
Lineage: Bacteria
Description: partial 16S ribosomal RNA
Rfam family: Bacterial small subunit ribosomal RNA
Source: RNAcentral